Molecule: ribosomal RNA, 486 nt
Filed under: uncultured bacterium
Lineage: Bacteria
Description: partial 16S ribosomal RNA
Rfam family: Bacterial small subunit ribosomal RNA
Source: RNAcentral
AUUGAACGCUGGCGGCAUGCCUUACACAUGCAAGUCGAACGGCAGCACGGGUGCUUGCCCCUGGUGGCGAGUGGCGAACGGGUGAGUAAUACAUCGGAACAUGUCCUGUAGUGGGGGAUAGCCCGGCGAAAGCCGGAUUAAUACCGCAUACGAUCUACUGAUGAAAGCGGGGGACCUUCGGGCCUCGCGCUAUAGGGUUGGCCGAUGGCUGAUUAGCUAGUUGGUGGGGUAAAGGCCUACCAAGGCGACGAUCAGUAGCUGGUCUGAGAGGACGACCAGCCACACUGGGACUGAGACACGGCCCAGACUCCUACGGGAGGCAGCAGUGGGGAAUUUUGGACAAUGGGCGAAAGCCUGAUCCAGCAAUGCCGCGUGUGUGAAGAAGGCCUUCGGGUUGUAAAGCACUUUUGUCCGGAAAGAAAUCCUUGGCCCUAAUACGGUCGGGGGAUGACGGUACCGGAAGAAUAAGCACCGGCUAACUACGUG